Molecule: RNase P RNA, 365 nt
Filed under: Deltaproteobacteria bacterium RBG_13_61_14
Lineage: Bacteria; Deltaproteobacteria
Description: RNase P RNA component class A
Rfam family: Bacterial RNase P class A
About the family: Ribonuclease P (RNase P) is a ubiquitous endoribonuclease, found in archaea, bacteria and eukarya as well as chloroplasts and mitochondria. Its best characterised activity is the generation of mature 5'-ends of tRNAs by cleaving the 5'-leader elements of precursor-tRNAs.
Source: RNAcentral
CAAGUCGGUCAGGCGGCCGCUCCUGGGGUAACCCAGGGGAGGAAAGUCCGGACUCCGCAGGGCAGGACGCUGGCUAACAGCCAGGGGGAGUAAUCCCACGGAAAGUGCCACAGAGAAGAGACCGCCUCAGGGGGAAAGCCCCUGGGGCAAGGGUGAAACGGUGGGGUAAGAGCCCACCGCGGUCCCGGGUGACCGGGCCGGCACGGUAAACCCCGUCCGGAGCAAGACCACAUAGGGAAGCGUUUGAGGGUGGCCCGCCCGAUGCUUCCGGGUCGGUCGCAGGAGGGGCUGGGUAACCGGCCUCCCAGAUGAAUGGCCGCGGCCCCGCCAGGGGAACAGAAUCCGGCUUACGGCUGGCUUGGCGC